Long non-coding RNA from Hemicordylus capensis (graceful crag lizard), 560 nucleotides. RefSeq lists it as uncharacterized. The transcript has 3 exons. The record is from RefSeq and is a predicted model, not a curated record. Lineage: Eukaryota; Metazoa; Chordata; Lepidosauria; Squamata; Cordylidae.
UAGACCGGCUUUGGGGGGGAAAGGCGGAGCCCGGUUUGCGAUGAGGCGGACUGCAUGAUAUGGCUCCUCCCAAUCAGUGAAAACAAGCCCGAGAGAUCCCAGCAUUUUUACUCCUUUAUUUGUACUGUGCUCACUGCUAAUACUGGUUCCAUUACUCUGUGUGUGUGAUGUUGAUGGCAACGUGAUGACGUCAGGGAGCCUGCCCAAAUAAAUCAAGCAAGCCAGCAAGCCACCCAGAGUUUUAUUCCAAGGUCCGGUGAAGAAUCAGUCUCUUCCAGUCAGCAACAGAACGCGUUUUAAGGAGUAAGCCUUGGGUUGCCAGCCCUUCAGGAUUGGCUGGCUGGAGUCUCCUGGAAUCGGCAUCCAUCCCCAGGUGACAACUAAAAGUCCUGGAGAUUUUAAUGGCUUGAUAUAUAGGUGGGUGCGGAGGCAGAACCUUCCACGAAUAGCUUUAGUCAGAGCUGGCAACCUGAAAUAAGCCUCGUCUGAACAGAGGGGAAUUUACUUCCGGUUAAAAUUCUAAAGUAUUGCCACCUAUUUCUACAUUGAUUUCAAUGUAU